UUUCAGAAACGCUAUGAAUAU
Caenorhabditis elegans is the source of this 21-nucleotide non-coding RNA. The record is from Ensembl. Lineage: Eukaryota; Metazoa; Nematoda; Chromadorea; Rhabditida; Rhabditidae.